Molecule: ribosomal RNA, 245 nt
Filed under: uncultured Streptococcus sp.
Lineage: Bacteria; Bacillati; Bacillota; Bacilli; Lactobacillales; Streptococcaceae
Description: partial 16S ribosomal RNA
Rfam family: Bacterial small subunit ribosomal RNA
Source: RNAcentral
UACGUAGGUCCCGAGCGUUGUCCGGAUUUAUUGGGCGUAAAGCGAGCGCAGGCGGUUUUUUAAGUCUGAAGUUAAAGGCAUUGGCUCAACCAAUGUACGCUUUGGAAACUGGAGAACUUGAGUGCAGAAGGGGAGAGUGGAAUUCCAUGUGUAGCGGUGAAAUGCGUAGAUAUAUGGAGGAACACCGGUGGCGAAAGCGGCUCUCUGGUCUGUAACUGACGCUGAGGCUCGAAAGCGUGGGGAGC